UUGAAACACCGAUUCUCAUUCGAUGCCUGAAGUUAAGCAAUGUCAAGCCUAGUUAGUACUUAAAUGGGUGACCACUUGAGAAUACCAGGUGCU
Molecule: non-coding RNA, 93 nt
Organism: Acanthosepion pharaonis
Lineage: Eukaryota; Metazoa; Mollusca; Cephalopoda; Sepiida; Sepiidae
Source: the annotation of a GenBank genome assembly